Molecule: ribosomal RNA, 301 nt
Filed under: uncultured bacterium
Lineage: Bacteria
Description: partial 16S ribosomal RNA
Rfam family: Bacterial small subunit ribosomal RNA
Source: RNAcentral
CAGCAGCCGCGGGAAUACGUAGGUGGCAAGCGUUGUCCGGAAUUAUUGGGCGUAAAGGGCUCGCAGGCGGUUUCUUAAGUCUGAUGUGAAAGCCCCCGGCUCAACCGGAGAGGGUCAUUGGAAACUGGGAAACUUGAGUGCAGAAGAGGAGAGUGGAAUUCCACGUGUAGCGGUGAAAUGCGUAGAGAUGUGGAGGAACACCAGUGGCGAAGGCGACCCUCUGGUCUGUAACUGACGCUGAGGAGCGAAAGCGUGGGGAGCGAACAGGAUUAGAUACCCCUGUAGUCCCUGUCUCUUAUAC